UGAGCGUAUAGCUUGUAUUUCAAUCUGUGAAAGAUUGUGCUUCUUAUAGGAUGUAGAAUCAUAAGCAAUGCUCACAUCCUUUAUAAUUUCUCUGCUGACAAUUUAUGAGGGCUAAUAGAACUAAUUCUCUGAUUAAUAGAACUAAUUCUAACAUAUCACUAAUAGAGACUAAACUCACCUUAAUGAUAAUUCGAGGUGAGGAAACUUCUAGCAAGUAAGGAUGAUGGAGGUGUCAUCAAAGACCCUCACUGUAAGAAUUAAUUUUUCCCCCUGUGGUGGGAGUUCUAUUGUUGGUCAUAAAAGCAGAGCAUGCUUCAGUCCUCCUCUGAUCAGUGAUGGCAGAGCAUGCUUCAGUCCUCUGAUCAGUGAUGGCAGAGCAUGCUUCAGUCCUCCUCUGAUCAGUGAUGGCACGACUUGUAAUCUCCUUAGAUCAAAUAUUUCAUGGGUGUAUGUCAUCUACUUUUUUGAUGAAGCCAUUGUAAGAGUGUUUCACUUCCACAUUUAUCCUCAUGUUCUGGUCUUUCACAAUGAUCUCGUUUCUCCUAAAGUAUUUCCAUAGGUUUGCUAGGUUAACUGCCCUGCUGAAAUUGUAGUUUCCAACCAUUCUUGAACCACAAUUGAGACAGACGGUGAGGGAAUUUCUAUACAAGGUAUAUCAAUUGAGUCAAAUAUUGCCAAAAACAACACAUCUCUUGUGCUUUAUAAAGUGCAAUUGAGAUGAUGUGUGGGUGAAAAAACCCAAAUGUGGUCUUUCCCAUCUUUUCUCCGUAAAAAACCACCCAAUAGCUCAACUUCGACUCUGUCCAAGCUCAAAGCAAUGUCUGGCUGAACCUGAUCAUACUAUCUUUUCGUCCAAUGUUUCCCUUACUGCCAUGUGGGUGGACUCUGGCAAGAGAGUCCUCGACAAAGUUGAAUUAAGGUGGGGCCCAUGGGGAUUCUCUAAAAAAUCACCAUGUUUUUUUCUUUUUGUGAAGAGUUCUUUUACUGCAUCUCAAUCUUGGCUGGAAAUGCUAUUAAAAACUGAUCUAUUAGUGAUAUAAUAAGGGACUUUUAUGUAAUUAGUUUAAUUACUUUUAUAACUCCUUUAAGCUAGGAUAUAAUUCUAGAACUUUCUAAUUGGGUAAGACUUAACAGAAACGGUUAUCGUUCUGUUAAGUCUCAAUCCUCCUAAAUUGUAUAUAAGUAAAUUAAUAACAUUUUAGGAGGGAUCGAACAUUUAUUCUCCCCCAUUUCCCAAACGCAUUCGUCCAAUGUUUCUCUUACUGCCAUGUGGGUGGACUCUGGCAAGAGAGUCCUCGACAAAGUUGAAUUAAGGUGGGGCCCAUGGGGAUUCUCUAAAAAAUCACCAUUUUUUUUUUGUGUGAAGAGUUCUUUUACUGCAUCUCAAUCUUGGCUAGAAAUGCUAUUAAAAACUGAUCUGAAGAAAAUUUACCUUCCUCGAAAAAAUAAUAAUAUGUAACUAUAUUUAGACAUUUGGUUUAAAUUAAAGUUUGAAGUGGGGGUGAAUGGUAAGAACGGAGCGGGGCGUCCUGGUACCGUCAAGGUGAUAACCGGAUUCGGGGCAGAUAUUCUGCUGAUCUGCUCUAUUUCCAAAAUUUUACCCCGUUGCCCCGAUCAUAUUCCAGGGCAGGACGAAACCCAGACGGGUCGCCCCGGUUAAAAAAAUAAUAUAAUUUAUUAUAUUAUAUUAGAUAUAAAUUAUUAGGAUUAGAAAUUUAUUAAAUUUUUAAGCUUAGGCCCAUUUUAGAUUUACUCUUUAAGAAUUAGGCCAUUUUAGAUUUUUAGGCUUACUCCUUUGUUAAUAUUUUUUAUUUUUUAAUAAUUUGCAUUUUAAAAUUCCAGGGCAGAUCACGGGACAGGGCCGAUCCGUCCGCGCCCCGCCCCGUUCUCACUCCUAGUUUGAAGGUAGUUGAAUCCAUAUUCCAAGGGAAAAGUAGAACUAGAAUUGCUAUGUACGGAUAUAAAACAUGGUUCCGUGAUCCAUACCCAAUGAUUACAAGGUCAAACUCUUAUUACUUAUUAGAGAGUUGGUUGCAU
RNAcentral lists this long non-coding RNA (2037 nucleotides) under Zostera marina. RNAcentral describes it as "long non-coding RNA (ZMAR_LNC005147)". The record is from RNAcentral. Lineage: Eukaryota; Viridiplantae; Streptophyta; Magnoliopsida; Alismatales; Zosteraceae.